Molecule: non-coding RNA, 1442 nt
Organism: Punica granatum (pomegranate)
Lineage: Eukaryota; Viridiplantae; Streptophyta; Magnoliopsida; Myrtales; Lythraceae
Source: RefSeq, a predicted model, not a curated record
UUAAUAUUAAAUCAGGAAAAAAUUCACACGAGGUGCACUCUUCCUUUUCUCUCCGGCCUCCCCCGGUGCAGCCUCUCCGGUCAGUUUCCGCUCUCGAGUCGGAGCUUAUGGCAUGGGCCAUAACAAGCCUAGCCUAGGCGUUUUAAGACCCAUCACAGCGGCCAAUCUAGUAGAACCCAUCACGCUCCCAGUCCCAGACCCCUUGUAUUUCACUCUGUGUACGUAGAAAUGAAGUUCAACUCAACGUCUUGCUCGUCGCCACGGUUUGUUUCUUCUUCAACUUUUUUCAGGGAGAACGACCCUCUCCCAGCUGACCCAGGUAUUGAUUUUGCUGGUUUUACGCUUCUUCGUUCGGGUUAUUGCAGGGGGAAGUUGACAUUACAUUUUUAGAAAAUCUCUAACAACUUUAGGAACUCUUUAGUGAGUGAUGAUGUCUUAGACUUUAAGUGUGAUUGAGAAAGUGCCAUAGUGUGUAUGCUGUAGCUGUAGGUGCUUCAGGGACAUGACGGCUCCAACUGUUUGAUGAAAUGCCUCAGUGGUGAUUGGUUUCUGUUUGCUAGUUUGAUCUGAUAUGAUUUACUUUUCGUGAUUAGAUUUCAUCAUGGAAAUGGCCCCUCUAUUGAAAGCAUGAAAAACAAUAUUAUCAUGGAUCAAUAAACUGUACUCUUGUUGUUGGGAAAGUUCAAGUGGGGUCAUGCUUUUCUUUCGCUAAGCCUGUAUUCUAUUUCCCAUUUUUGCUGAGUUUCAAGCGCGAAAAUUUUCCUAUGAAGCAAGUUUUAAGAGUUGAGCCAAAAGUUCGGGUCCUCUGACGAAUUUAAUCUGGAAGUGCCUGUGAUAAUCACAUUGCUCAAGCCUCGUUGAGGAAUUCUGACUCAGCCAAUGGUGCUCUUCCAAUACAGGAAGCCUUAGAACUAUCGUUGUUGAUGAAUCUAAGGAACGUGUCGCUAGUAGACUCUGUAAAUUGCUGUAUAUGUCUUGUACGAAUUCGAUCAUUGAGACAUCGACUGAUACGGGGAACUUUUGAAGGCAUAUUCUGAAUGUAGCAAUGAUACUGAUAUUAUAGCAGUUUAAAAGACUUGGCUCUCUCAGCAGGCUCAGGUUCCCAAGGCUCCAUCGGACAAUCAAGGUGAUGCUGUGGUGUCUCUUAGCGAUGAGGAGGGUUCUAAUUCAAUUCUGAUCGAGGGCUUCCAUCUCUUGAGAGGAAUAUGAAUUGCUUGACUUUACGGGAAAGCAAGGAAGAGAGUUAAUAGAGAUGCAGUCCAAGUUUGCCGCUUAUUCGGUAGUCAGCCAUGAAUCUGUGGAUACUAGAAAGUGAAAAAGUUUUGCAUUUGCGAAGUAUAAAUACAGCAUUUUUAAUCAUAUGUGUUAGAAAGAACACUUUUUGGAGGGGUGAACACUCAUUGCUCGAGUUUGAAGCAUCAUUAAUCAUAUGUGUUAGACUA